UGGAAGAGGAAGGGAAACAGACCUCCAUACUACUACCAUGGUGCCACCUUGGCACAGGCACAAUGAAGCGGAAUACAAGCCGCGGAAUGGGCAGAGAAGAGGAAGAUGUAGGAAAUACCAGAGGACAGCAGAGCAUGGAAGUGAGCAAGAUGCCAGCAGACAGAGGAUGAGUCAGAUGUAGAUUAAUGAAGGGAAGCGUAGAAGGAUUUUGAAGAGAGAAAUGGAUGAUACUAUGAAACUUGCCAGCUGCUGCGUGCCAGCCGGCGGGCACCAUGCCAGCCUGCAGCCGUGGCAUAACCGAAGCGAUCAACGCGGUCGACGGAGAACUGUCAUAGUUGAAGACAAGGAGACUCACCUCGGAGGAUUUGCUGCUAAUCACCGUUUGUUUGCUUGGACAAAGCCAAACAGAGGUGCCCAGGCAACGGUUGCCAGCGAUUCUGUGAUGGCAUCUUUUCAGGGUGGCGAGGGCACAGGGAGGAAGAUGGCACGCUGCCAAGACAACAUAACACACACAUUUGCAAACAGAAACCGCCAUACGGCGAGCAGAACAUUUCGGAUGCCUUACAUGUUUUGGCGAUGGCAUCCCCUCAAGGGAGAGAGACCAGGAACAGAGAUGGCACCAUGCCAGAUGCAAACUGGGAGGCAUUCGCGGGCGCCACCAGAAGCUCUGCAAAAGCGUAGUAAACGCAGACACAAAAUCAUAGCAGAAGGUUGGAACCAGCCACAAAUGCAACUGAGGUGAGAGUAUGGGAUAAAAACCAUUUCCUGAAUGCCAACUCUACUCAGUGCCAACUGCUGCACUGUAAGGAAGCUACUGCCCAUUACAAAGAACCAAGACAAGGGAUCAUACCAUUCCAGUACGGAGAGAAGGAAGAGAAGAGGAAUAAUGAGCAAAAUUAAUAGAGGAUAUAGUGGAAGAAAAAUACGAGGAAUUUUGUGCUUAACGAAGAACAGUGGGAGUGGGUGGACAAGGAUGAUGAAGAGCCUCUUUCCUGCACAUGCACACCUGGGAUGUUCUUAAAGGGAUAUCCCCUCACACUGCUGUGUGAGUCAAAGGGAGGGAUGUGUUGGCAUCAUCUCCAGGGUGUCAAGCUGUGUUUCUGUAUUGCCAGUCAGGGAGGGUGCUGCAGUCGUCAGGGGCGGGCAACUGUCUGGGCAUCUCAUCUGCAGCUAAUUAACAGCCACACACUAAUUCUAACAGCCGAUCAUAAUUAGCGAUUUAAUCGCUCGUCAACGCUUUUCUCCCCCCUUAAAUUGUGCCUCCUAUUUGGACACGUGCGGAUAAGCUAAGGAACGCCGGAUCCCCCCUCCCUCCCCUCCUUCUCGUCCUUCUUUCCUUCAUCCUUGGCUCCAGACUCCAGUGGGAUCUUAAUUAAGCCUGGGCUUCAUUAUGCAAAUGGAGUACAAUAAACGACAGCAGAGGUGGAGCUGGAUCCAGACUGAAACGGAACGGUGGGAGGGGAGCACUGGAAGAGGAAAAUGAAGAGAUGUGGAAGGUUACCAAAAUCGUCUAUGUGAUGUUAUGACAUUACAAUAACUGUUUAUUGUUUUGACGUGUACAGUGUGUCUUCAGUGUGUCACACCCACGUGUGGUGGGAGAAGCAACACUUCGUGAUCUGAUGCUCCUUUUCAUUUGCCAUCGGAGAAACUUCUGUGAAGUAACACUGGAUACGCAGAAUGUCAUCUCUCACAAAGAAAAUUCAUAAGGGAAUGGUGACAAUGAACCCCUUAAUAUCACCAGUUGGCCGGUGUCGUGGAUAUGAAGAAAGAUGGUAAAGAUAGGCAGAGAGAAAGGAGGCAGACAGAAACACUGACGGUGGCAGCAGCAUGGCAGCUAAUGUCAUCUCAGUUUAAUCAUCGCUUGGGAUCAUGGGGUUCAUGAAAAUUCAUUUGCAUAUCAUUAAACAGAGAGAGGUUAUUUGGUGCGGGCAGCCAAAAUGGGAUUGGAUGAAGGAAGGGAGAAAAAAAAGGCAAAUGGAGGGACUCGUUAUUAAACAGCAAUGUUUUAUAGUCCGCCAGCCGAUUCAUUUAAUUUGGGCGUAAUUAAAAUGUGUCAGACUCAAUCAAUCAUUCCAACAGGGAUACUAUCAGUGUUUCAGUCUGAAAAAAGACUAAUCAGUUGAUAUGCGGUCGGACAUUUUCCAAUAACAGUCUAAGUGCUUUAGUCUACUUUGAGCUUGACCCAUCCACUCGCUUUUCUCAUUUAUCUGAAGGAGUGUAUCAAAACAUCCAUUGUGACUUCCUUGUAUUGUGUCAAGACAUGUCUAUCUCUGACAGGUGGCGGUGCCACUCUGUGUUAGUCAGUAAGAGGAUAGCUCACACUGUCUUUUUGACCUCAGAAGCAAGCUGUCAGCUGUGUGUAUGUAUGUGCAUGCAUACAUGCAUUUCUCAUUUGCAUAAGUGAUGUAAUUAGACCACCCUUUCACAUGCAGAUCAGUUUGACAACAUGGCAAUCACUCCAGCACACACAUACAGCCAUGCGCACACACACACACACACACACACACAAACACACGCGACAGCACACGCUUACUGCCGUGACCAGCACCAUAUCAUGGGGAGUCUGUUGUCUGUGAGCAGAGAGUGUAAAGAUUAACAUAAUCCAGCUAAUAAGUGUGAGUAAUAUUCACACAGUGACGCGUGGCGUAGACACUGUCCUGCUGAUGCGUAUUUGUAUCUCAUUAUAGAUGUAAAGUACUGAAGGGGGGCCGACACAGGAGGGGGGUGCCAAUGUGGAUGGGGGAUGGUGAGGGGUCACAAAAAAAGUGUGGGCCUCAAUAUAAAGACACCAAAGAAUGACAAUGAACAGCAGUAUUUUUUGUAAAGUUAUUCUAUCCACGCUUUUUGCAGAGGGCUGAUGGGAGUAUAAAGACAGAUUACACAGGGUACCUCAUAACUGAGAUGCUGGAGAUCGGUGUAGGAAGUCUUUCAAAUGUUUCCAUAAAAUCAGAGAGACAAUUUCACUCAUUUUCCCAUUCGGUUACUGUAAGAAGGCACAGAGUGUCAGUUUUUGUGGCAGAAUGUAGGAAUUAUAAAUAGAGUGUAUUUGCGCUUGCAGGCUAGCUCUGCCACAUGAUUGAUUAGGAUGGUGUGACGACCAUUAAAAAGUCAUUUAAAAGAUGGAUAGGGACCACAUUUCCAAAUAAAAACCACUUUAUACCUGAUGAAGUGCUGAACAAACUCUCCUUCAAAGACAUUUACUGAUUACUCUUGGUGUGUGAGUGAGUGUGGAAGCACCCAUAUACUUUGUGUAGCUCUGCAUCAGCUAUAGAAGAUACCAAAAGCAGUCUUAAGGACACAGUAGGGCAGCGGUAGUGGUUUUCACCUUUUUAAAAACUGAAAUCAGAUCGCAAUUUUUAGAUUAGAAGACGCGGCGUGAUGUUCAUUUGGUUGAGGGUGUAAUCUCUACGUGUACACACAGUGCCACAAACGGGUCGACACGCGCACACUGAUUGAAAUGUACCUGAUAGCACAGCGUCGCCUCGACUGAAGCUUUAUCCAAAGAAGCAGAGCUGUGUCUAAAU
Long non-coding RNA from Acanthopagrus latus (yellowfin seabream), 3524 nucleotides. RefSeq lists it as uncharacterized. NCBI's taxonomy places the organism in Eukaryota, Metazoa, Chordata, Actinopteri, Spariformes, Sparidae. The transcript has 2 exons. The record is from RefSeq and is a predicted model, not a curated record.